RNAcentral lists this ribosomal RNA (464 nucleotides) under uncultured bacterium. Its description in RNAcentral is "partial 16S ribosomal RNA". It matches the Rfam family "Bacterial small subunit ribosomal RNA", at positions 339 to 795 of the family's 1533-position model. The record is from RNAcentral.
CUACGGGUGGCAACAGUGGGGAAUAUUGCACAACGGGCGCAAGCCUGAUGCAGCCAUGCCGCGUGUAUGAAGAAGGCCUUCGGGUUGUAAAGUACUUUCAGCGGGGAGGAAGGGAGUAAAGUUAAUACCUUUGCUCAUUGACGUUACCCGCAGAAGAAGCACCGGCUAACUCCGUGCCAGCAGCCGCGGUAAUACGGAGGGUGCAAGCGUUAAUCGGAAUUACUGGGCGUAAAGCGCACGCAGGCGGUUUGUUAAGUCAGAUGUGAAAUCCCCGGGCUCAACCUGGGAACUGCAUCUGAUACUGGCAAGCUUGAGUCUCGUAGAGGGGGGUAGAAUUCCAGGUGUAGCGGUGAAAUGCGUAGAGAUCUGGAGGAAUACCGGUGGCGAAGGCGGCCCCCUGGACGAAGACUGACGCUCAGGUGCGAAAGCGUGGGGAGCAAACAGGAUUAGAUACCCCGGUAGUC